CUUCCCUGCGCAUGAUGAUACAUGAUGUUGGUAGGGACAUCUGAGAAAAUGAUGAGGACCAACAUCGCUGAGCAGGCCAG
Molecule: small nucleolar RNA, 80 nt
Organism: Varanus komodoensis (Komodo dragon)
Lineage: Eukaryota; Metazoa; Chordata; Lepidosauria; Squamata; Varanidae
Source: Ensembl